Molecule: non-coding RNA, 241 nt
Organism: Arachis ipaensis
Lineage: Eukaryota; Viridiplantae; Streptophyta; Magnoliopsida; Fabales; Fabaceae
Source: RefSeq, a predicted model, not a curated record
GAGGCGGAAAGGACUUAAUGAGGCGUUUGGGUUAUGGAAUUGCGUUUUGAGGAUAUAGACGCUGAAGUCACGAAGGGUUUAUUUAGUUGUUGUUGAAAUGCUCUGUAUUGCUUUAGAUUAUUGUUUGUACCCUCGCCUUUAUCUUGAGAUAUACUGUAAGAGGGAUAGGAAUUGUGUUGUCUAAUGCUUGUAAUAUUAUUUUGUGUGUGUGUAUGGAUGUAUUCUUUAUGAGCUUUUGUAA